UUUCCGUAGGUGAACCUGCGGAAGGAUCAUUAGUGAAUUGCUCUCUGAGCGUUAACUACAUCCAUCUACACCUGUGAACUGUUGAUUGACUUCGGUCAAUUGAUUUUACAAACAUUGUGUAAUGAACGUCAUGUUAUUAUAACAAAAAUAACUUUCAACAACGGAUCUCUUGGCUCUC
RNAcentral lists this unclassified non-coding RNA (178 nucleotides) under soil metagenome. RNAcentral describes it as "partial contains small subunit ribosomal RNA, internal transcribed spacer 1, and 5.8S ribosomal RNA". The record is from RNAcentral.